UAUUGUCAAAACUAAGCCAAAUAUUAUUUUAUUCAUUUCUGAUUUUCGGGCUUGCCGGAUCAUCCGAUAAUAUUCAGGCUUUUGGGAAAAAUAAAAUUAUUUACCUACCUACCUACCCACACCUGGCUUGUCAGAAUAGGGAUUAGGGAAACAAACAAUAUAUUAAUUUAGGCCUCAUGUCUGUGAGCACUCAACCUGACCAUAAUAUAGGACAGUGGUUCAAAUAUUAACACAACAUAUGAACAUUCUAUAACAACUAUUGCAAGUGGCUCAACUUUAAAUAUCACUGCAAGGCACUAAACAACGAAUAUUAAAUCUUGGACACAAAGCACUGAAAUAAGAGAACUCAUA
Molecule: long non-coding RNA, 351 nt
Filed under: Mytilus galloprovincialis (Mediterranean mussel)
Lineage: Eukaryota; Metazoa; Mollusca; Bivalvia; Mytilida; Mytilidae
Source: RNAcentral